AACGAACGCUGGCGGCGUGGAUUAGGCAUGCAAGUCGAACGCGAAAGAGGGGGAAACCCCUUGAGUAGAGUGGCGAACGGGUGAGUAACGCGUGAAGAACCUGCCUUCAACAGGGGAUAACACUCCCAACGGGGUGCUAAUACCGCAUGAGACCACGGGUCCACAUGGACCUGAGGUCAAAGGUGGCCUCUGCUUGCAAGCUACCGGUUGAAGAUGGCUUCGCGUCCCAUUAGCAGUUGGCGGUGUAACGGACCACCAAGGCGACGAUGGGUAGCUGGUCUGAGAGGAUGGUCAGCCACACUGGGACUGAGAUACGGCCCAGACUCCUACGGGAGGCAGCAGUCGAGAGCUUGGCAAUGGGGAACCCUGACCAAGCGACGCCGCGUGGAGGAUGAAGGCCUUUGGGUUGUAAACUCCUUUUGUCGGGAAGAAACGCGAUCAGGUGAAUAAUCUGGUCGCUUGACGGUACCCGCGAAUAAGCUCCGGCUAACUCCGUGACAGCCGCCGCCGUAA
This 513-nucleotide ribosomal RNA is filed under the name uncultured bacterium. RNAcentral describes it as "bacterial SSU rRNA". It matches the Rfam family "Bacterial small subunit ribosomal RNA", at positions 29 to 523 of the family's 1533-position model. The record is from RNAcentral.